This is a non-coding RNA of Xyrichtys novacula (pearly razorfish), 497 nucleotides long. Lineage: Eukaryota; Metazoa; Chordata; Actinopteri; Labriformes; Labridae. The record is from the annotation of a GenBank genome assembly.
UUUUCUUUUUUUUCUAUGCAGCUCCAUUUUCAAAAGCUAUUUGGGGUUCUUAUUUUCUAUGAUUGACACUUGAUACAGCCUAUGGGCGUGUGAAGAUUGCGUAGCGAUACGCUGUUUGAGCCGAGCAUUAUCACAGCGACUCACCCGCCGAAUGCGUACAAUGCUACUGCGCAAGUGGUGGUUCCAGGAAGCGGAGAAAAUCCUGGAAAUACCAGAGCAAUUCAGCUUCAAAUUUGUAUGAUGAUGGAAGGUUUCCUACCUGGUAGCUAGACGGUAAUGACUUAGGCCACUUUUAGACGGAAACGGUCUCCAUAGAAAACAGAAAAAUUUUAGUUUCGUUUAGGGGGGUCCGUUUAGACGGCAACUGCGUUUUCAGGAGAUGAAAACGUAACAAAGUGAAAACCCCCUCCAGAGUGGAAAUGUUGUAAACGCUCUGCUAGUCCCGCUUUCGUCUAAAGUACAAAAACGCUGAAAACAGUCAAACCUGUGACGUCCUG